AUAUAUAUGGAUGUAUGUGUGUGUUCAUUCAUACUAAAUAAUGUAUUUGGUACUUUAGGUUGUUGAAAUAUGUGUGUUUCUUACUGAUUGGUAUACUGAGUGGUAAUUCCAUUUUAACUAUACUGUGUUUUUAAAACUGUAAAGAUUGAGACUGAAUUAUAUAUGUAACUCUUUACUAGAUGUAUGCCAGUCAUCAACAAACAAAUAUAUACACACAUGCAUAUGUAUAUAUGUGUGUGUGUGUGUGUAAUGCACGUUAAAUAUCAUGAUGAUGAGAAUACAUACACAUGCUUACAUAUAUAUAUGUAUAUAUAUUUCUUUUUUUUUUUAUUUUCAUAAAGCUUCCCGUUAUAUAUAUAUAUAUAUAUAUACAUACAUAAAUACAUACAUACAUACAUACAUAUACCAGAGUAAGCAGAAAAAUGUGAAACAAGGUGGAAAAAAAAGAGUACUCAAAUACCAGAGUAGAGUAAUAUGCUUUAUUAAUAAAACUGCGAAAACAACAAAAACUCAGUUACUCAGUUUCUCAUUCUCAUUCUGAUGAACAGGAAUGUGAAACUCUGAAUAACAGUUUUUGUGAUGACCUUGCAGCUUUAUGUAUACAUACAUAAGGGCAUCCAGCUGUAGAAACAUUGCCAGAUUAGACUGGAGCCUGGUGCAGCCUUCUGGCUUCCCAGAACCCCGGUCGAACCGUCCAACCCAUGCUAGCAUGGAGAACGGACGUUAAACGAUGAUGAUGAUGAUGAUGUAUAUAUAUAUAUAUAUAUAUAUAUAUAUAUAUAUAUAUAUAUAUAUAUAUACAAAAUUAGAAAAUGGAGAAACAUAUAUAUAUAUAUAUAUAUAUAUAUAUAUAUAUAUACAAAAUUAGAAAAUGGAGAAACAUAUAUAUAUAUAUAUAUAUAUAUAUAUAUAUAUAUAUAUAUAUACAUACAUACUCGUGCAUAUUUAUGACAACCAUACAGUAUUUAUUUUUGCAAGGUAAAAAUGAUUUAAUUUAUAGUUGAAAAAAACACUGUUCAUUCACUGAUCACUGUUAUUGACUUUGAUCUCUUCCCCUUGUAUGUUACUUUAGUUCUGGGUUAGGAGUGGAGUGUAGACAUAGUACAGAGUGCUAGACUAAAUAUGUUAUAAUAUUUAGCUUUAUUCUUCUGCAUUCCAUGUUAAACUCCUAAAAUGCGUAACUUUGUCCUUGCAUCACUUGAGGGUUGAGUAAAUAUGUACCAGUAAUAAUAUAUUGUAGUAUGUACUGUCAUCUGUAGUUUUCUCUUGCAAAAAUUAAUCUUGCAUAUUGUCCAAAAAUAUUGAUUUGUUUUGUGGAGGUUUGUGAGUUGUCAAAAAUGGCAGUGUUUUGUAUUUAUAUGUCUUACAAUAUCUGUGCUGUUCUAGUUUCUGAGAUUUUUAGCUUUGGUAGUUAUUUUAUCAAACCCUGAGUGUUUAAGGGAACAUGUACAAGUUAUGUUCUGAAAAUGUUACAAUUAUCUAUCCUCAUCUAUUUAAAAAUUUUCUUCGUUCUGCCAAAGAAAUUCAAUUUUGUAUUUUGAGUAGGAAUUGAACUCUGUUCAGGGACUAAAUUGGCUCAAAAAUAUAUAUAUAUAAACACUAUCCUAUAAUCAAAGUAUCAUCUCUCAAAGCAUUCUAAUAAUGACUUUCAGUGAGAUAACCUGAAGAGCUGUUCUGACUGUUUCAUCUAUCAUCUCAUGUACAAACCUGUAUAAAAUUUUUUAUCAAAUCUUACCUCAGCAUCACUGGCUGUUCAUCUUAAGCAAACUUUUGAUUAGAGAAACCAUAUUUUUAACAUGUUAAACUGGGCUCAAAAAUAGAGGAAAGGGAAACUCAAAAAACUAAUUUCCGUUGCUUACUUCUGACAGAAACAUCUAGUCGUGUUUUAGUCCACAUUUUUAAUUAAAUUAUUAGUUAGUUUAAUUAUCUACUACUUGUUACACUAAUAUACAUCAGUAUUAUUUAUAGAAACAUUAUAAAUGCAAAUUUUAACAUUGUGAGACCACUUUUACAUAUCAGGAUAUUUUCAUCAUAUUAUCAACAUACCAGACUUUGAAGAGAUUUGGUGGUUAUUUUUGCAAGAAGCAGCAAUCAAGUAGAUAUUCUGACACAUUAUAGCAAGGUAGAGACGCUGAUAUAAUUUCAGUCUCUGGUUGAACUCACAGCAAACUUGCACUAAACUUACAAUGGUAAUUCUUUUGAAAGAAGCAUGAAAAAAAUUCUCUAAAAUAUAGGAUCUUUAUCACUUUGAUCACUUUGACCGACCAGUCCGUCAGGCGUCCAUUUGACACCGCUGAUCACAGCACGCUGUCCACUCUUCUCUGGAUCGCGCCCCUCUCAUCCACGUGAUCCCAAUCGUCCUCUUGAAAUUGUCACUCCACCGUCGUGGAGGUCUUCCGGGUGGUCUUUUCCGCUCAUGUGGGUACCACUCGACAACUGCGUGCAUCCACCGGUUAUCGGGGAGUCGGGUGACGUGUCCAGCCCAUCUAUACUUGCAAUGUUAUAUGGUAGCUACCACAAAGAGAGAAGAGCAAAGACUGAUAACGGCUCAAAGAGCCAUGGAAAGGUCAAUGCUUGGUAUCUCGUUGAGAAAGCACAUAAAUAGCAACAUCAUCAGAAAGAAGUCCGGCGUGAGAGAUGUCAUCGCAGAGUAUACUCGCAGCAAGUAUAAGGAUCUUUAUAUCUAAAGAAAAGAAAACAAGAAAUAUAUUUUGUCUUUUGGGGCUGAAAAAUAAUAAAAGUAUGACUUGAUAACAGAGAUUAAAGUUGUUCAAAAUAUUAAUACAAUGUUUUCCAUUGCUGCAUUAGAGCAGCAAGCUGGCAGAAUUGUUCCCGUGCUGGAUGAGAUGCUUAAAGGUAUUUCUUUCAACUUUACCUUCUGAGUUCAAAUCCUGCUGAGGUUAGCUUUACCUUUCAUCCUUUUGGGGUUGAUAAAAUAAAUAAGUGCCAGUUGAGCACAGGGUUGAUGUAAUCAACUUAACCUCCUUGAAAUUAUUGGCCUUGUGCCAAAAUUUGAAACCAACACUAUAAAAUAUUUGUAACCAGCCUUUAGUAAAAAAACGUUGCCGUAUCAUCAUAACAUCAUCAUAACAAUGUUCUUUUGUCAAGAGAUUACUGAACUAAAAUUUACUCUAUUUCAUAUAUGAUAUUAGUGUUCCUUAUUUGAGCAUGUGAAAGAAAAGAACCUAUUAAUAUUACUGAAGAAAUCUUUCAUCACUUACUUGUUUCAGUCAUUAGACUGUGGCCAUGCUGAGGAGGCAUGCUUUGAAGAAUUUUUAGUCGAUUGAAUUGGCCCCAGAAGUUUUUCUUUUUUGUUUUUUUAAACCUGGUGCUUAUCCUAUCAAUCUCUUUUGCUGGAUCACUAAGUUAUGGGGACAUAAACACCAACACUGGUUGUCAAGCAGUGUAGGACACACACACACACACACACACACAUAUAUAUAUAUAUAUAUAUAACAAUCUGCUUUCAGUUUCCAUCUGCCAAAUCCACUCACAAGGCUUUGGUAGGCCCAAGGUGCCACAGACUAGGACUUAACUUGGAAAUAUGUGAUUGGGAAGCAAGUUUCUUACCACACAGUCACACCUGC
This 3587-nucleotide long non-coding RNA is filed under the name Octopus vulgaris (common octopus). The record is from RNAcentral. Lineage: Eukaryota; Metazoa; Mollusca; Cephalopoda; Octopoda; Octopodidae.